UGCCCCCUGGCCCAGCUGGUUAAGGCGUGUGACUGUUAUUCACAACUAUCACAAGAUCGUGAGUUCGAACCUCACGGGGGCAG
This is a non-coding RNA of Schizophyllum amplum, 83 nucleotides long. The record is from the annotation of a GenBank genome assembly. NCBI's taxonomy places the organism in Eukaryota, Fungi, Basidiomycota, Agaricomycetes, Agaricales, Schizophyllaceae.